GGCGGUUCAGGCAAAUCUCUAUACUCACCGGAGUAUGUUUCAUCAAGCUUAGGCAAAUGGAAAACCAAAGACAAUCCCAGGGCAGUUGUAGGAAAGAAAAUAUAGAGCAAAACAUCGAACUCUCUAGCGAUUUCGAUGGCAUCUGUGCCGAAAAGAUCAACAACUAGAGCUACAACCGGAGAUGCCUCGGUUAAAGCCUUAAAAGAUUCACGGAGUGCAGAAAGAGAGCGAGACAAGCUAAGUACGAUCCGAGUCUCCAUUUUAACAUCCUGAGGGAGGUCAUCAAAGCUAACCGGAGAAAGAAAGAUGGAGGAUAUGGUAUUGGGUAAGGCUUGAAGAAGUUGCCUUUGGGGUUUCAUGGGCGAGCCAUCGUUAGGCACAAGGAAGGUGACUAAGAAAUUGUGUUGGUGAACGAGUCUUUUGGCUAACUCAAUCAUCGGAAUUAGAUGACCCAUCCCCGGAGUUGGCACCAUGGCUAUGUGGGAUGGUGCUUGCAGCUGCAGGGUAGAAGCCAUGGCAAUAAGACUAGUGAGAUUUGGGUGUCGGUGAACUGAAUUCCAGGCUAUUGGGCUUUAUAGGAAAAGAGGAAAGAAAAUAAUUAAAGAUUCAAGCUUUAAGCUAAGCUUUGAUAAAUUAAAAACGAGGAGUUGAAAAUUGGCUUGUUUAAAGAUAAAUUAAGAG
RNAcentral lists this unclassified non-coding RNA (681 nucleotides) under Hevea brasiliensis (rubber tree). Lineage: Eukaryota; Viridiplantae; Streptophyta; Magnoliopsida; Malpighiales; Euphorbiaceae. The record is from RNAcentral.